GUACACGCUGUGACUAGCAUAUCAAUAAGCGGAGGAAAAGAAACUAACAAGGAUUCCCCUAGUAACGGCGAGUGAAGCGGGAAGAGCUCAAAUUUGAAAUCUUAAAGGGUUUCCCUUUACGAAUUGUAGUUUAAAGAAGUGUUUUCUGUUGAGGUUUUGGUAAAAGUUCUUUGGAAUAGGACAUCAUAGAGGGUGAGAAUCCCGUAUUUGACCUUUACCUUUCAACUUUGUGAUACACUUUCAAAGAGUCGGAUUGUUUGGGAAUGCAGUCCAAAAUGGGUGGUAAAUUUCAUCUAAAGCUAAAUAUUGGCGAGAGACCGAUAGCGAACAAGUACCGUGAGGGAAAGAUGAAAAGAACUUUGAAAAGAGAGUUAAACAGUACGUGAAAUUGUCAAAAGGGAAGCGUUUGACACCAGUGUUGUUUUUCUGAAAAUCAAUUAAAGAACUGUUUAUGCUAAGCUGUUUAGACUUUAUCAGCUAUCUGUUUAGUUUUGAGCUUUUCUUUAAUGCACUUUUCAGUUAACAAGUCAACAUCAAUUUCUUUUGCUGUAAAAAAGCUUGAGGAAGGUGGCUUGAGAUUCGUCUUAAGUGUUUAUAGCCUCUUGCCUAUGCAGUCGGAGAGAUUGAGGUCUGCAGCGUAGAUCCUUCGGGGCUAAAUGCAUUUGUGCUAAGUUAUAGCAUUUUAUAGACAACUUGUUGACUAUGAUUUGUCUUGUAGCUUACUCGCUUAUGUUAUUUUACCUACGCUUAGGAUGUUGAAGUCAUCGUAUCGCGC
This 775-nucleotide ribosomal RNA is filed under the name uncultured Neocallimastigales. RNAcentral describes it as "partial large subunit ribosomal RNA". It matches the Rfam family "Eukaryotic large subunit ribosomal RNA", at positions 22 to 645 of the family's 3401-position model. The record is from RNAcentral. Lineage: Eukaryota; Fungi; Neocallimastigomycota; Neocallimastigomycetes; Neocallimastigales.